CAUGGACCUUAGGAGAGCUAAACUGCUCAGCUACCUCUAUUUGUUCACUUACAAGAGAUUACAGUUCCUUGCCUUGUGGAUUUUAGCCAGUCAUCCUAGAGUCGAGCCUCUAUAUAUCCUUUCUAAAAGCCUGAAAGUAUGGAAGAAAUUCUGUUCAGCAAGGAUUCAGGAGAUAUUGAGGAGUGUUUGGAAACUGAAAGGAG
RNAcentral lists this long non-coding RNA (203 nucleotides) under Pan troglodytes (chimpanzee). RNAcentral describes it as "lncRNA (ENSPTRG00000053226.1)". The record is from RNAcentral. Lineage: Eukaryota; Metazoa; Chordata; Mammalia; Primates; Hominidae.